This is a long non-coding RNA of Esox lucius (northern pike), 1875 nucleotides long. The record is from Ensembl. NCBI's taxonomy places the organism in Eukaryota, Metazoa, Chordata, Actinopteri, Esociformes, Esocidae.
UUUCUAGGCAAGAGUUGACGUGAGGCUGGUAAAGCCAAUAAACUGGGGAUUGAAGCUUUUAGGACCUAUGCGUCCCAGCUUAGAAACCGGAACACUCUCACCCACGCAGGCUACAGUCCCAUGCUGCUCCCACGAGCAUCUGAAGUCCUAUGGGUGACCUCCAUUGUCAAUAAUCGAUAAAAAAAAAUAUCCCUGCGUAACUCCUUGCGAAAGAGAAGACCACUGACCCUGUUUUUGAACUGGGAUGUCUGCCACUAUCCUCACCUCCUGUGGAUGGAAAGGUAACUGAUUGUUUUCAGGACUCUCUGAAGGGUAAUGGAGCUGUUCCGCAUCCUGGUUGUGAGACGCAACUAACAGCAGGUAAUGCGUUACAAAGGCACCAGGGCCUGUUGAGGGAACUGCAGGAGCUUGCCCAGGACGAGAGGGAGAGGGAGCAGGAGUUCAGGAGGAAGAAGGAGCUGUAUGAGGGGAACCAGUCUGAGGGAGAGAAGAGCCAAGAAGAGAGAGAGGAGAAGAACAAUGAACUGAGGAUGAAAAAAGUGACAGAGGAGGAGGAAGCAAAGGUAGAAAUGAUGGACAGAACAAAGGACGAGAUGAGGGAGGAGCCCAGACUAGAGGAGAAAAGUGCUGAUGAGGAGGAGAGCACCAAAGAGCUAGAGGAGCUCCUCGCGGCUGAAAUCACAAAGAAAGCGGAGGAGGAAAACGAUGACAGGGAACUUGAGGAACUGCUCAAAGAGCUUAAAAAGAAAAGGUACGAGUCGGCGAAGGAAAAAGAGCUCCAGCAAGGGUCAGAAGCUGAGGAGGAGAGAAGGAAGAAAGAGGAGGAAGAGAAGGAGGAACAGAGAAAGGGAGAGAAAAGGCGUCUAGAAAUCCUUGAAAGUGAAGAGAAGAAACGCAGCGAAGAGAGAAAGAACAACGAGGUGGAGCUCCUCGUGGAGAAAGAGAAGGUGGAGCGAGAGCUCAAAGAGCUUCUGAAAGAACAGGAUAGCAAGAAGAAUGCAGAGAAGGAGAAAGAGAGAGAGGAAAAACAGGAGGAACUAGAGGAGCUCCUUAAAAAAAUGAAACACGUCAAAGAGGAGGAGCAAGAAGAAGAGGAGGAGAAAAAUAGAGAGAAAGCCAGGGAGGCGGAGACGGUGAACGGACAUGGUCAGGAGCAGGUUGCCACUCCUCGGGAACUGGGGACGGAAGCUGGAGAGGACGACGAUGUGAAGGAGCCUCAGCAGAAACGAAUGAUGGAGAAAGCGAGUGAUGAAAGCACCCGGCAAUUUGAAAAGGAAAGGUACAGGGACAAUGAUGAUGAUGAUGAAGAAGAUGAGGAUGUGGAGGAGGAAGACUGGGAAGAGGAAGAGUCAGAUGUGGAGAGAAAGGAUAAUGAUGAUGAUGAUGAUGCUGAGAAGGAUGAAGGAGAUGAGCUUCUGGAGAUUGAGGCUGAGCUGCGAAAAGUGACUGCAGAACUUCGAGAGCUACGUAGGGGUCAUUAAGGUCGAAAUGAUCAUGCAGAUGCAUACACACAAACACACACCCACACACCCACACACAACCACACACAGGUAAGAUGCCCUGCUAGGCCUAGCUGGUAAAGGUUUGAAUCAUACGUUCAUGUCCAGUUGCGGUCAACUAUAUAAAAGAUGUAUGUAUACUUGAGUUUGCUUUGGUUGAAAUGGCUGCUGUGUGGCACAUAUAUCAUACAAACAGCAUAUUUACAACACACACAUUGUACCUGUAUUCUGGAUUAUACAAUUAUGAAUAACAUGACACAAGACUUUUUCACAUGCGUCACACUCAGAAACAUGAACAACUAAAUAGAUACGUGGAUUGAUCAUAACGCUUUUGAUGGCAUAUAUUUCUGUAUUGUUGUUCCAUUAAACCCCCCCC